UACACAGGAUAAGAACCAUUUGGAAGCCUACCACUGCCUCCAUCACUAUAAUAAAUUCAAAAUCCCUAUAUAUUUUGGUGUUUCAUUUAGGGUUUUGUUUUGUUUUUAUCAUGGAAAA
Gavialis gangeticus (Gharial) is the source of this 118-nucleotide long non-coding RNA. RefSeq lists it as uncharacterized. The transcript is spliced from 3 exons. The record is from RefSeq and is a predicted model, not a curated record. NCBI's taxonomy places the organism in Eukaryota, Metazoa, Chordata, Crocodylia, Gavialidae.